CCAACUGACGUCUAUAGACAUUGGCUACCUCACUAAUCUGACGUCAAAGAGACUUUUCACCUGUCUUUUUUAGGCCAUUUAGACGUCGGAUGCAAGGGGAGUUGACAAUCUGACGUCUAAAGUGCUGAACGAAGUGACUUUUCAGUAAUUGGUCAGUCCAGUAAACAACGGGGACUUGGGGGCGCCGACGUCUAUGAACUUAUUGACGUCGGUCCUGAACAAAGGGACAUCUGUUUACUUGCGGGGUACGUGAAACACACUAAUUGCAGCUAUACAGACGUCAACUGACUGACUAAACCGACAUCCAAGAAACUAUUCAACUGCCUUUUCAGGCCAUUUAGACGUCGAACGUCGGGUCGCUGACAUCCAAAAUGCUGAACGAAGUGACUUUUCAAUAACCGGUCAGUCCAGUAGACGUCGGUCCUGUACCAAGUGACGUAAGUGUCUACGAGGUAGGUGAAUCACAUUAAUUGCAGCAAGAUAAAUGUCUGGCCCCCCGUAUAUACAGUAGAAAUACACUGACUUCUCACCUACAUGUCAGGCACAUGGACGUCUGUUUAGGGUGAAACUGACGUCUAUACUAUUAUAGACGUCAGGCGAACCACAAACUGACGUCUAUAUAACCAACUUAUUUAGUAAAAUGCCACCGGUCAGUCAUAUAUGUCUCGUCACAUCAUAAACAACGUAUAAGGGGUGACAACGAUUUUGCACCAGUGGCACUUGCGAAUCUGUAAACUAAAAUUCAAUUCUUUGGUGAGAUUUUUGUGUUACAAAACGAGAAAUGCAACAUGUUACAGGGUUUAGAUGAUAAAAAGAAUUACAUUAUUAGAAAAGAAUCAUAUAGUUUGAUUCAUAUGACG
This 860-nucleotide long non-coding RNA is filed under the name Vigna radiata. RNAcentral describes it as "long non-coding RNA (VRAD_LNC009393)". Lineage: Eukaryota; Viridiplantae; Streptophyta; Magnoliopsida; Fabales; Fabaceae. The record is from RNAcentral.